AUUGAACGCUGNGCGGCAUGCCUUACACAUGCAAGUCGAACGGUAGCAUAGGAGCUUGCUCCUGAUGGCGAGUGGCGAACGGGUGAGUAAUAUAUCGGAACGUGCCCUAGAGUGGGGGAUAACUAGUCGAAAGACUAGCUAAUACCGCAUACGAUCUACGGAUGAAAGUGGGGGAUCGCAAGACCUCAUGCUCCUGGAGCGGCCGAUAUCUGAUUAGCUAGUUGGUGGGGUAAAAGCCUACCAAGGCAACGAUCAGUAGCUGGUCUGAGAGGACGACCAGCCACACUGGGACUGAGACACGGCCCAGACUCCUACGGGAGGCAGCAGUGGGGAAUUUUGGACAAUGGGGGCAACCCUGAUCCAGCAAUGCCGCGUGAGUGAAGAAGGCCUUCGGGUUGUAAAGCUCUUUUGUCAGGGAAGAAACGGUAGUAGCGAAUAACUACUACUAAUGACGGUACCUGAAGAAUAAGCACCGGCUAACUACGUGCCAGCAGCCGCGGUAAUACGUAGGGUGCAAGCGUUAAUCGGAAUUACUGGGCGUAAAGCGUGCGCAGGNCGGUUGUGUAAGUCAGAUGUGAAAUCCCCGGGCUCAACCUGGGAAUUGCAUUUGAGACUGCACGGCUAGAGUGUGUCAGAGGGGGGUAGAAUUCCACGUGUAGCAGUGAAAUGCGUAGAUAUGUGGAGGAAUACCGAUGGCGAAGGCAGCCCCCUGGGAUAACACUGACGCUCAUGCACGAAAGCGUGGGGAGCAAACAGG
This 757-nucleotide ribosomal RNA is filed under the name uncultured Oxalobacteraceae bacterium. Its description in RNAcentral is "bacterial SSU rRNA". It matches the Rfam family "Bacterial small subunit ribosomal RNA", at positions 28 to 776 of the family's 1533-position model. Lineage: Bacteria; Pseudomonadati; Pseudomonadota; Betaproteobacteria; Burkholderiales; Oxalobacteraceae. The record is from RNAcentral.